GCCAGGCAUGGUAGCGCAUGCCUGUAAUCCCAGCUACUUGGGAGGCUGAGGCAGGAGAAUUGUAUGAACCCGGGAGGUAGAGGCUGCAGUGAGCCGAGAUCACGCCACUGCACUCCAGCCUGGGUGACAGAGCAAGACUCUGUCUCAG
This is a non-coding RNA of Homo sapiens (human), 148 nucleotides long. It matches the Rfam family "Metazoan signal recognition particle RNA". From Rfam's summary of the family: The signal recognition particle (SRP) is a universally conserved ribonucleoprotein. It is involved in the co-translational targeting of proteins to membranes. The eukaryotic SRP consists of a 300-nucleotide 7S RNA and six proteins: SRPs 72, 68, 54, 19, 14, and 9. NCBI's taxonomy places the organism in Eukaryota, Metazoa, Chordata, Mammalia, Primates, Hominidae. The record is from Rfam.